This 299-nucleotide ribosomal RNA is filed under the name Salmonella enterica subsp. enterica. RNAcentral's name for it is "partial 23S ribosomal RNA". It matches the Rfam family "Bacterial large subunit ribosomal RNA", at positions 488 to 688 of the family's 2925-position model. The record is from RNAcentral. Lineage: Bacteria; Pseudomonadati; Pseudomonadota; Gammaproteobacteria; Enterobacterales; Enterobacteriaceae.
UAGUGAACCAGUACCGUGAGGGAAAGGCGAAAAGAACCCCGGCGAGGGGAGUGAAAAAGAACCUGAAACCGUGUACGUACAAGCAGUGGGAGCCCCACCACUAAGCCAGUGGUGAACUCCACAUACGCAUCCUUUGCUGAGGAUACGGUUAACGGAGCGAAAGCGACGUUCAACCUCAAAAGAAGCAGAGGGGGCUUAGUGGUGGGGUGACUGCGUACCUUUUGUAUAAUGGGUCAGCGACUUAUAUUCUGUAGCAAGGUUAACCGUAUAGGGGAGCCGGAGGGAAACCGAGUCUUAAC